UUACACACUGUAAUAAGGAAAGUAGAACUUACACUGCUAAUACAGAGAGUCUCCAAAGCUGAGAAGAGACAUUGAAAGAAAGUUUGAAAAUGGCCUUUGAGUGUUGAUGCCAAUACGAGGUGUCAACGGGUUCGCCCGUUAUAGCGAUACAGUAUUAACAUUUAUUGUUUAAUGGCGUACUGGAAUUCUAGACGUCGCUAAUCAUCGUUAAUACUCAUUUACUUAUAAUCAAGUUAAAUGAGUUUUUUAAUGUGAACCUUUCAUUCGCCUAAAGUGUCACAUAACGAUUAAAUUAGCGUCCACUAUCUCAGUACACUUUUAUUCACAAAAUGGCGUACUGUUUGAGGUUACUUUAGCAAUAAAGUAAUAAAUAAAGGUGGUACCGCGAAACAGGCUUUCGUCCUUUAC
Molecule: non-coding RNA, 408 nt
Filed under: Staphylococcus haemolyticus
Lineage: Bacteria; Bacillati; Bacillota; Bacilli; Caryophanales; Staphylococcaceae
Description: T-box sequence
Rfam family: T-box leader
About the family: Uncharged tRNA acts as the effector for transcription antitermination of genes in the T-box leader family.
Source: RNAcentral